Non-coding RNA from Trichophaea hybrida, 84 nucleotides. Lineage: Eukaryota; Fungi; Ascomycota; Pezizomycetes; Pezizales; Pyronemataceae. The record is from the annotation of a GenBank genome assembly.
AGUCGCAUGGUGUAGUGGUUAUCACGUUUCGUUUACACUUCUGUGGAACCGAAAAGGCCGCAAGUUCAAUCCUUGCUGCGACUA